RNAcentral lists this transfer RNA (121 nucleotides) under Candidatus Woesearchaeota archaeon. RNAcentral describes it as "tRNA-Phe". It matches the Rfam family "tRNA". From Rfam's summary of the family: Transfer RNA (tRNA) molecules are approximately 80 nucleotides in length. The record is from RNAcentral. Lineage: Archaea; Nanobdellati; Candidatus Woesearchaeota.
GCAGGGGUCGCACAAUCUGGUAGUGCACGGGCUUGAAAACCUCGAUGCCUUUACCGGCUGUCUGGGUUCAAACACGGUUCACAGGAUUAGAUGUGUACGGGUGAAAAUCCCAGCCCCUGCG